ACGGCCCUUCCAAAUUCUAAUCAUUUUUAAUAACUAAUUAUUGAGGGCCCCACAUUUAUUUUUUGCUCGGUGAGGAUCAUCUCCAUUUUUGAAUCCUUUUCGACUGUUAUUUGUUUUAUAAGAAUUGCGACACUGUGAAAAUGUGUCUCUGACCACGUCGCCAUCAAGGCAACCGUGGCCAUCAACACAUUUCGACUUCUCCGAGAUUUAGAUUUGGGUUGCAUCAAUGCACACCUGAUUUUAAGAAGGUAAUUUAAUUAAAAUGUGUCUAAAGAUUCUAUCGCAAUAUUAUUUUAGGGAAGGCCGUGAAAUUCGCUAAACGGCCCUCCCAUAUUCUAAUCAAUUUUUAUAAUUGUUUAUCAGGGGCCCCGCAUUUAUGUUUUGUUUGGCGAGGUUGUCUCGAACAUUUUAUUUGUUUAUGGUAAACUAAGGAAAUCACAAUUGUCUAGUUAUUUAUCUCUAAAGUACGAAGUCCCUAAUUCAAUAAUAUUCAAAGAGGCCUAUUUCCUCUGCCGCAGAUAACACUCGACUCAUGAGCAACGAGCCCUUUUCCUUUUGCUUAAAAUAAUGCCCUUUAUUUCUGCUUAAUUUCUGUGUUUGAUUGCUAUCUACUGAACAUAGGAAAUGAAUUAGUCAUUGCUGAAGUUAUGAACGAACCACACUACUAUCUACCGCAUUUUAAAAAGGACAUGGAAUCAAUUCAUAACCACGAAAAAUAAGAAACUGUCCACUGUAACUCUAAUCCAGUUUAACCAACCACCUAAGAAUUAAAAGCAAAUUUAAACAUAGUGUAAGCAAAUCUCCAGUUCUAAGCUAAUUAUAGGCAUACUCAACAAUCACUUCUAAGGAAGGAAAUUCUAGGAUUAUGCUACUUGUUGUUAAGAUAAGUGAGGACUAUGAAUCACCAAUUCACUUACUGUUUGAUUAACCUCUGAUUUUCAAAAUUUAACCACAUAAUCGAAAUCUAAUUACAGCAUAUAUAGUAGACUAUCAAAUGUUCCCAAGCAGUCCAACUCAGUCAUUGAGUGAUCAUCAAACUGACCUUUAUUACAGACAAACUUCAAGUAAUUAAACUUAAACUUAAGCAAAUCCUAGAACCGGCUAUAAUCGAAUAUGAAAGUCAGAUUAUAUUAACAAUCACUCAAUAAUUCCAAGCAAAUCCAUAGGAACUGAGAUCAAUUCUUCAUUCAUGGCUUCCACAAGCAAUUCAUACGAGUGUGUCAGACUUUUAAUUUGAAGAGCAAAUGAAAAUGUACCUGGCAAUGGUAAUACAACAAAGGAGAAGAAGAGGUCAGCAACAAUAGCACACAGCAAAUCAGGAAAAUUUGAGAGCAAACUAAGACUUGGAACUUAGCCACAAUCACUUGAAUGUGCCCAGGUGUGCUUGUGAAUGCAUCAGAAAUACUCCAACGAAAUACAAAAAACCAACAACUAACUCUAAAACAACUCAAUUGAGAAUCACACCAAUCGGCCAAAUCAGUACAUUUCUGAAAUCAGAGCCAUCAAAACUAAAUUGGAAAUUCAACAAAUCAACCAACCAAUGCUUGAGAUGCACCCAGAAUUCUAAUAAAACAGUGUUUGUUUGUAUUUUCUUUUUGUUUUCUUUUUUUUUUCUUUUGGUUUUUUGAUAGUUUUGAAUUCAAAUUUAGGUAAGAUAUAUCUGGAGGAAUUUUUCAGAUCUGAAAAAAACUGAAGUAGGGGUUUGGGCAAAUCUUUUAGGCUCCAAAACUUGUGAAAGAAGUAAAGGUCAUGCCCCUUUUAUAGGCACAAAGGAGGCCUAUCAGAUUUUCAGCUUUCUUUUUCGGUCCCUCCCCAUUUUCAACUUUAGUACAAUAUUUUUUAAUAUGUUAUCCAAGUACACUUAUCUUUUGCAAAUUACCUAAAAUCCCCUAUCUAGAAGGUCCUAGAAAGUUCAUCCAACAUUCUCUACCCUUGAACUACCUAUUUUGCCCCUGAAUUUAAGCUAAAUAACAGCUAUAAACAAACAAUUCCCUAAGCUCUACAAAAUGCAAUCCUAAUCUAAGUAAUCAAUUUAAUCACUGAAUCAAACUAACAACAACAAUCAGUAAAACUAACCACCAGCUAAACUAAUCAAUACGGAUAAUCAAAUGACAUUCAAACAAAUGUUAAAUAACCCAAUCAAUAAAACUAACCACCAGCUAUACUAAUCAGUACUAAUAAUCAAAUGACAUUCAAACAAAUGUUAACUAACCAAAAUCAAAAUUGAAACCUAAUACUGCAAGUCAUGGUUUAACAGAAAGGGUUGAGAUGAAUUCAAACUAUUCGCAGAAUGAAUAACAACUUAACAACUAAAAACUAAGAUGAACAGGCAGAUGAUGAUCAAGUGAACCAUAUACGGAAUGAAAUUGAAACAGUUUUGAAGAAAACUUAAUGACUUCCAGAUUAACACUUUUAAACGACAAAAUAAAAACUAAGAUAACACCAAAAGGAAGAAGAGAAGGAAAAACAUAAUAGGGAAACUCAACUGCUUUAAAAAAUUUGUCUCAGAACUUGAGCGGACUUGGUAAUAUUCGACCUCGCCAAGGGUCGAUUAUUCACGAGGAGACGAGGAGACGAGGUGACCUUGGCGUGUUAAUUUGAGACCAAACGAAGGACCCUAAGACUUGACUGCCAUUUUUGAUUGAAAAUUCAAGGCGUCGCAGACUAAUUUGAGGGAGACUAUUGACAGAUUGGUGAUGAGGCGGAGGAGAAGGUCUGGUGGCGUGAAUUAGGACCCGUUUCGGCAAGUUUUGACUUGGCCAGACAAUUUCAAUCGAUGAUUCGGACAGUUUGGCUGUGAUUCGAAGGAAGCCAAUGCGAUAUUUGGAAUAAGUGUAUCGAGAGGGGUUGGUGGUAUUAUUUUGGGUGGGAACAGUGAAGAUGGUGUUUCCCUCCGGCGAGGAGUUGCAGAGAGUUAUACGAGGAUGUGACACUGACUGUCUCUAGGGUUUCAUUAUUCUUAGACAAUUUUAUCAUAAAACU
RNAcentral lists this long non-coding RNA (2982 nucleotides) under Nicotiana benthamiana. Its description in RNAcentral is "long non-coding RNA (NBEN_LNC028403)". Lineage: Eukaryota; Viridiplantae; Streptophyta; Magnoliopsida; Solanales; Solanaceae. The record is from RNAcentral.